RNAcentral lists this ribosomal RNA (372 nucleotides) under uncultured bacterium. RNAcentral describes it as "bacterial SSU rRNA". It matches the Rfam family "Bacterial small subunit ribosomal RNA", at positions 29 to 424 of the family's 1533-position model. The record is from RNAcentral.
AGCGAACGCUGGCGGCAGGCUUAACACAUGCAAGUCGAGCGGGCGUAGCAAUACGUCAGCGGCAGACGGGUGAGUAACGCGUGGGAACAUACCUUUUGGUUCGGAACAACACAGGGAAACUUGUGCUAAUACCGGAUAAGCCCUUACGGGGAAAGAUUUAUCGCCGAAAGAUUGGCCCGCGUCUGAUUAGCUAGUUGGUGAGGUAACGGCUCACCGAAGGCGACGAUCAGUAGCNGGUCUGAGAGGAUGAUCAGCCACAUUGGGACUGAGACACGGCCCAAACUCCUACGGGAGGCAGCAGGUGGGGAAUAUUGGACAAUGGGCGCAAGCCUGAUCCAGCCAUGCCGCGUGAGUGAUGAAGGCCCUAGGGUU